Alosa sapidissima (American shad) is the source of this 876-nucleotide long non-coding RNA. RefSeq lists it as uncharacterized. The transcript has 3 exons. The record is from RefSeq and is a predicted model, not a curated record. NCBI's taxonomy places the organism in Eukaryota, Metazoa, Chordata, Actinopteri, Clupeiformes, Clupeidae.
CUGUUCGCGCAAUUCAAAGUCUUUGAAUCAGAUUCCGAAGCAGUCACGUGGGUGUGUGUCCCAAACGAAGCUUCAGACGUCACACUCACAAACUGAGGCCUCGUUUGUCAUCAGUCACAUGAUUUUUAUGGAAACGACACAAGCCUCGAAUCGGGGCUUCAUCUGGCACGCCCCUUUCUGCUCGACACAAGCUCCGAACCCUCGCUUCAUUGGGCACAUCACUAGCUUCGAGCAUCACUUUGAGCACAGAGUAGUGUUGCUGUGCCCUCUCACUGUGUGUCUCCGUAGCUGUCAGACCUCCUGCGGUUCCUGAGAGAGGUGAAGUGUGUGUGUGUGUGUGGAGGCAGCGAGGACCCUUUCAUGUCAUCCUCGUCGUAACAUGGCUCUGUUCCUGAGACUCUCCUGAAGACUCCUUUGACACCUGACACCUGGGCACGGAUCAAAAGCUUCACCUGGAAAACACUGAGCCCUCCACUGCUGCUUGUUUCCACCAGGUGCUGAAGCUGGGUGGAGCCUGCUUCAAAAAAGCGCUUGGCCUUGCAGCUGCGGAGAUGAAGACGUCAUCGGAGGCGGGCUCUACUCAAAACAGCCAAUAAGAGAGCAAACGAGUGGACGAUAUUUAACCCAUGAACGAUGUGUGACCUGUGAUCACUGUAUAGACCCCUGAACUUUGUGUAAACCUCUGAACUUGUGUUACGGUGAAAAGUUCGCACACUUGGCAGCAACAGUGCUGACUAGCAUAAGAUAAGAGCGAACAACAAUCCUUUCAUAGCGCCACCUGUGGGUUUGGAGAUGCCAAGCGUUGUGUCAGCAUCUAAGGAGGGGCGUAAAUAUUGGUGUUCAACAAUUGUUCGGGAGUACGAUUGUACGAUCCAC